UAGGGAAUAUUGCACAAUGGAGGAAACUCUGAUGCAGCGACGCCGCGUGAGUGAUGAAGGACUUCGGUUCGUAAAGCUCUGUUGCAGGGGAAAAAGAAAGUGAUGGUACUCUGUGAGAAAGGGUCGGCUAACUUCGUGCCAGCAGCCGCGGUAAGACGAGGGACCCUAGCGUUGUUCGGAAUCAUUGGGCGUAAAGCGGGUGCAGGUUGCUUUGUAAGUCAGGUGUGAAAGCCCGGGGCUUAACCUCGGAAGUACAUUUGAUACUGCGAAGCUUGAGUGUGGGAGAGGUAAGUAGAAUUCCUGGUGUAGUGGUGAAAUACGUAGAUAUCAGGAGGAAUACCGGAGGCGAAGGCGGCUUACUGGCCCAACACUGACACUCAUACCCGAAAGCGUGGGGAUCAAACAG
This 406-nucleotide ribosomal RNA is filed under the name uncultured bacterium. RNAcentral describes it as "bacterial SSU rRNA". It matches the Rfam family "Bacterial small subunit ribosomal RNA", at positions 355 to 775 of the family's 1533-position model. The record is from RNAcentral.